GAGAGUUGCUGUCAGUCAAUGUUGACAGUAGUGAACUAGAUGGACCAGUGGUCGGGCUCUGUAUAAAGUAGCUUCUGGCAAUCACAUCUGCCGAUAGUGGAAAAAGUAAAGACACAUCCUUAGGAUGGGUGCCAAACUGACCAGGGAUCCCAAGAGUUUUGGCUUCUGAACCAUGUCCGAGAUUGCAGCUCAUUUACUUUGUUCCAAAGGACUAAAAGUGCCAUUAAGAACUAAGCCAAAUAAUACUUAUGUAGCUCCAUCCCUUCAGUUAAGUCUGCCUGGGUAGACCUUGCUUCUUAACCAUACUAGACAGUGGUACCUGUUAGGAGCUCAUCCUACUCUCAAGUAGGACCCUGGCUGGGACACAUGCCUGUCUGGCAUGUUCCCUCCCUCCUGGUCGUUCGUUUGGGAGCUUGAAAAGCUUUCUUCUGCCCGAACAUCACAGCGACCAAUGCCUACAGACAUCGGCACACUUAGGGAUCCGCAGAGUCUUUGCAGCUUGCGUAACAGUGCUCAGCAACUCAGCAUUUUGGCUAAUCUACUUUAUUUACAUAUAAACAUACAUGGAGCACUGCAACAUGGCUCCCUCUCUCUAGCAUCAGACAGCAAAGAGAAAGAACAAAGGACAAUAGUCCCACUUCGUGGAACACUGUAACACAAACAUCCUUUCUCCGUCACUUCUCAUUUUGUGGAGUCAAAACAUACACCGUCAUGUGAAAGACAACAAUCCCAUGACUGCAAUCAUGGAGCAGGAAUUCUAACAGGAAAUCAGUUUUCAAAUAUAAUUCAUUCUGGAAAACCAUUCAAGUUCUGAAAUGUUCGAAAACCGAAAACUCAGUACUGAAGACUCAAAAUGGAGAACUCAAUACGAAAGCCGCGUUUCAUGUUCAACUUCGGAGGCGCGUUCGAAAACUGAAGCAUUUACUUCCAGGUUUACAGAAUUCAGAAACCAAAACAUUCAUCAAUGGGUUCGUUUGAAAACCAAGCUACUACUGUAGUGUGAUUCAGUUUUGGGAAUGUGAUAGGAUCUUAUGUUAGGAACAGAGUGACAAAGAGGAAGAAUGCUGGGAAACUGCUAUUUGUAUAGACAGCUGUUAUCGAGUGUAAUGGUAACAGAGCACUACAAGGAGAAACUUGGGAAUGGGCCAGUAUGUCUUCAAAUGCUGACCCAAAAUACACUCAGAAGUAAGACAUCUGAAAGUUUUGCCUUCUGGGCUUCUUGGGCUCGAUUCAUGUAAUCUGUAUAGUGUUCCUUCCCCACACAAUGGAGAACAACUUCUCAGACAGGUGUGCAAAUGAAAUAUCUGAUGUUUUACUUGCGUGAUUUAGUUUCUUCCAUCUGCUUCAAUACCGACAGUUACUUUCCAGAGUAUUUGUCUCACUGAAUGCUGUUCCCUAGAAACUAAUUAGCAUUUCAUUGUGCAAGUAUUUCUGCUUACAUGGUGUUUUCGAACUAAGAAUGUUGCUAAUCCCUCUAUAAUUAAUGCUAAAAUGUCAUAAAUAAUGCUUUAAAAAAAGAAAUUAGAUGGUAGGUAACAUUUUAAUAUAAUUGUAUUUUAAUUGCAAAAUUACCAAGCAAUUCCCAUAAAUUAUAUAUCACAUUCACAUAAGUAUGACGUGAAUUACUUCAUUAUGAUUAAUGUAAUUGUGAAAACCACAUGAAUUAAUGAGGACUGUCCACUUAUUUCCCAACUAUGUUAAUGCACUAAAUGUUUGUUAUUUUAUUAACCAAUUGCAUUGGUACUUCUAAAAAGGGAGGGCAUAAAAACACAUGGAAAAGCAAUUGAAAAGAAGGCAAAGUAUUGAGCAUUUGUUAAACAAGUACAAAUAAAAGUACUGUAAAAGGAGAUUGUAUAAGAGUCUGCUUCUAUCAUGUAUGUGUCAGCAGCCCACUUUGUUUUGAAUUGGCAUAGCAAUGGAGUUGAAGAUUAUUAGGAGUUUUAAAUGCCAUUCUUAUUGUGAGUUAUGAGCUGAAUUAAUCCACCAGAAGAGGGGACCACAGGCAGACCAAGGCAGCAGCGUGGCGGUUGCACUAGCAGACUGCUACUUUGGGUCUCACCCACUAAAAUUUUAUAGGAGUUUUUUUUCCAAAAAGAUGCAACACAGAUUUGAAAUAUAAGUAUUUGCUGGCAAUCAUUUUCUUGGGUAGUUGGCUCAAUAUAUUUAUAUAUGCUGAGUUUGUUUGGUCAAAUAUUAGGUAUCUCCAUCUGCCACUCCUCACCUGUUUCCAGCACCACAGCAGUCCACAAAAUAAAAUAAAAACAUAGAAAUAUAAAUGGAGACAAAUUAGAUAGGACAGCAUGCAGGGGAUGGACGUACCACUCCCCAGUCUUUCGAACAGAAUCUUUUCUAAUCUGACUUUUGAAAUCUUCACAAUGUUAGCAAAUUUACAUUUUCAGGCAGUUUCUGCAUUAUGUCUGUAGCUCUCUCAUGGAGUUUUCUGCACACAUGAUGGUGGACAGUUCAGUUUUUUAAAAAGUCUAUCUUCUCUAAUUCCGGCUCUCUGGCACAAGGAAGGCUUAUUCUUAACACACGGAUAAAUCUCAAAGGGAGCUCCCUGCUACGAUAGAUAUAGACUUGGACAUCUGUUCCUUCUCAUUAAUCAGGCUUGGAAAAAUGACAGGAAAAAUUGUGACAUGUCUAUCUACAGUUCUCUGUUUGAGGUGAGGCAAGGAGAAAAGGAGCUCUGCAGGCUGAAACAUGCCCUCUGUACCUAAUUCAUCUUUUAAAAACAUUUGCUUAUUUAUUUGCAAUGUUGCAAACCACUUUUCCAUUUUUACAACUUACACAAGUGGGAAGCAGCAAUAAAAUAGCUGUAAAAUUCAAAAUUCAAAGCUUAGAUGAAAUGAUAAUCAACAUCAGUAAUAACUACAAAAAUACCACCAAAUAACAUUCAGAACACGCUAAAUAUGAAAUGCCAGUAUAAUAACAGACAGGACUUGCUGAAAUUUAUUUCACACAAUUCCCCAGAGUGGUUGGGGAAACCCAGCCAAAUGGGUGGGGUGUAAAUAAUAAAUUGUUGUUGUAUCCUGGCAUUUCACUUAAUAAAUAGCAUUUAGGGCAGCUUAUUACUACUACUACAACAACAACUAUUAUUAUUAUUAUUAUUCACUCUUCAUCUGAGGAUCACAGGGCAGUUGACUAUAUAAAAACACAAAAAUACAUAACAUAGUGACAGUAUUAACCCUUACACACAGUUUAAAUGUCAUAGAUUGUUAAAUUAGCCAAACUGUAAAACACAGCCUUAAAAUAAACAUGGGAAAAAAUGAUAAGGGUGCCAGCGGGGGGUGCAGUGCAGGCCAGAGGGUGUUCCUGGCUUCCUGAUCCCCAAGUAUUACUGCUGCUUACUGAGAGGAGAAGGGAUGCCGGACAGGAAGACUAGUGGAUAUUCUGAGCCCUGGACAGAUUGUGCUUCAAAUAUUGAACGUGUUCUAUGGAUUUAGCCCUGAAACAACCUAGUAAACCAGGAGAAGCUUUGUAAAGUUGAUGCUGCUCCUUCUCUGUGGUCAACAUCAGUCUUGCUGCCAACUCAAGCUUCUAAACGGCCUUCAGUGGCAGCCCCGUCUGUUAGCAUUUGCAGCAUGGUUGGCUAAGCUGUGCCCCUCCUGAUGUUACUGAGCUCAAACUCCCACCAUUGCUGACCAUUGAUCAUGCUGACCGAGCCUGUUGGGUGUUGGAGCUCCACAGUAUUUGUCGAGUCAGUAAUAGAGUUGGGAGGAUAUCAGGGAAAUCACAACAUUAUUUCCAGGAAGCAGUGCAGCUGGCAUAUCAAUUGAAGCUAAUAAGAUGUACUCAGGGCCAUAACUUCAAACUAAUAAUUAUAAUCCGUGAGAAGACCCAUUAGAGGCACUCCUGAUCCAAGCUGCGAUCCUGAUCCUUGGGAUGCAAUCCCAUGCAAAAUAGGAAUGUUCAGUUAUUUGAGACUGGCUACAGUAUUACUCCUAGGCCAGCCUUAUAUUGAAUGCCAUUUUGGCAUUUUGAGAGAAGAUUUUGGGCAGGUGAAACAUUUUUUGCUUCCUCUCUACACUUACACUUCCCAGAUAGCACACCAAAACUGUUGUGUAAGAAGGUACUCAAAGGUUUGUCCCCGUAGCCUGGUCUCCACCGCCAUGCGGCCAACCCCAACCACUUUAAAAUAUUGUUCCUUUCAGCAUAGAAUCUCUGUGUUGCAUUGUAGCUAUGGCCCAAGACCUACCCUAUGCAAAAACCUGCUUCUUUAAUCCCCUGCAGAAUGCUUGGCUAUUACGCCACCAAGCCACUGGGAUCAGCAGUGCCAAGGAAAUCACUUCUGGGAAUCUUCACCUGUUCAGAAACUCUGGAGAUGCUCUCACCUGGGCAGGGGUAGAGGCAGGGAGUUGGAAUGCAUCUUAACAUCUUCUGCAGAUGGAGAAAAGGGAACCGUGCCCAUUGUGAAAAUGUUUCAAUCUGAAAUUUCCUUCUGAAAUGUGUAGAACUGGUGGCCUAAUCCAUUUGCACUUACUGCUUCUGUGUAUUUUGAGGGGUAGAAUGGCUAUUUAUACAUGCUUCUUUGCAAGUGGAAAACAUGUUUUAAAAAAAUAAUAAUAAUCCAGUAGCAGGCAUUACUCACAGAUGGAAUUGUAGCGGUCAAUCCCCCAUUGAGCUGAAGGCUCUGUUGUUCCUGCUGCAGCUAUGCUGCUGGUGCUGUCUCUCUGCAAAACGAAAGCUUGGGGGCAACAGUUUUUCCAGUUAAUGCUCUGGAAAAGGAGCACGGGAUAUUAUUCAAAGCUGAGCUGCAAGGGUUGAUUGUAGCUUCCCAGCAGAAACUGUUUCUAAAACAUUCAGAGUUUCGGGAGAGCAAAUGGAUUUUAGCUUCCCUUCCGAUAGACUGAUAAAGAUGGGGCUUACAUCUAGAGUAGUUUUGCAUAAUGAUUAGCUUCCUCUUGGCAACGACAGGGUGCUGCUUAUCUCAAAACAACCCUAAGUCUGAACCCGGGAGAUGCACUCGCUUUGCCUCUUGGUUCAAGCUGUUUUUACUCAUUGCUAGUGGGCAACCAUUUAAAACAAAGCAAUACUCUCAUACAGAAGACAUCACAAAGGCAGGGUAAGAUACAGUUACACAGGCAUAUAUCUAAUGAGCAUAUUAAAAAGUGAGGGCUUCUCCAGAGGCUCUUCAUGUGCUACAUUCUUCUCACAGCCUUUCUGAUAUUAUUAUUAUUUCAUUACCCCAACUCAUGCAAUUAGAUAGCUUUGUAUCCCACCAACCAGUUCAAAAGAGGCUCCCUCAAAUUAUUCCAUCAUUUGCAGCAUUGUUGCAUCCUGUCCAUGCGCAAGAUUGCCUCAUAGUGGAGGCAAAUGUGAAACCUUACUUUGUGAAGAUUAGAUGCAUUCAUGACAGAUAGGGCCACACAGCAGCUAUUGAAAUGUUAACUAAAUUGAAUCUCCAUAUUGAGAGCCAGUUUACCUUUGAAUACCAGAUGCUGGUAUCUUCAAGUAGCAUCUGGCUGCCCAUGUCAGACAGAGAAUUUGAUUAGAUAGACUUUGAUCCAGAAAGGCGAUGUUUCAGUUCUUGUAAUAUCUUAAGACACUUUUACUCAGACAAGCAUAGUUUUGGAUUUUUAUUUAUUCUAACAUGCCAUCGCAAUAUCAACGAGCAGAGCGAGAUUCCAGGGGUUCCAGGCAAGGCACAGCAGAGGCUAGUGUCUUGAAGAAAUAUGGGUUAUUAACACAUAUUUACACCUGAAAGUCUACAGUAAGAAGGGGCACAGAAGAGUGUCUCUCGUUGCCCCUCUCUUAGCUUCAGCAAGCUUAGGUCUAAAGCAGCAGUCAGUCAUGGCUCUUGGUGCAGCCUCCUCCAGCCUCCAGCAUGGAGGUCUGGCCUGACCAGCAGCUCAUGAAGGUCUGCCCUUUGUUAUCCUUCUUCCUCUCAGUACAUCCUUAGAUUUUCAAGAAGUACAAAUUUUCCUCUGACAUCACGCCCCCCCAUCACCUUGGCAACCUCCCUUUAAUGGCACUCCGUUGUUUAUUACUGGCUCUGCACUUAAGCUAGCCGAUCAGUUUGCAUAGGCUAACCCAGGAAUUCCUCUACAGAUUGUAUUUUCCCUUCGAUAUCCCAGCUAUUAUCUAGAUUCUGACACUCAUUAAUUUCUUUGGUUGGGGGUGUUAUUCCUCUGCCCCUCAUGUUCAUAACAUUGUAUUAAUGAUGGAUAAUACAGUUGUUUAUAUAAUAACGUUGCAGGUGUUGACUGUUAUGAUGUGGUUGUAAAAUACCUAGAAACACAGACAACCAAAAUGGAAAGGGGCCUCACUAUGUGAACCACAAAAUGUCAAAGCAGGCAAGUGGUUCUCUGACUGACAUUACCUGCCUGUUCAUCUGAGGUCUGAUUCAAAGAUCCAGGGGUGAGUUGGCAACAGUUCCUACGACCUCCCUUAGCUGUUCCAUUGAUUGUUGUGUGUCUGGUUCAGACGGACAUUCUACAAUUUGUAACUACUGAGCAAGAGAACAUUUUAUUUCUUCUGGUGGGAAAAAGUGACAGGUAGUGAUUUCAAUCUGCCGGUCUCUCCAGUAAUGCUAUGUGUCAGUUUUUGCUAUCUUGGAUCAGAAGGGAGAUCAGGGGUCCAGGUGUGAGAUCCUGACAGGUAUUCAUUCCUGACUUUCCGUCUGACUCAAAUGCAUCUUGUCAUUUUGCAGUCUAUCGCAGCCUGAAAAUCUUUACUGGUCUAGGUGGGAGAUGCCUACAGGUAGCAAUUUCUGACAGCCACCCUGUCCAAAUCUGCUGCUUGUCUGUUUCUCUGGCUGGAGACUCCACUGCCUAGUUUUCAUAUGGGGAAAGAUUUUUCUCUCUCCAAACAAUGUCAUGUGGAACUUGCACCCCAGGUAAAAAAGCUAGAAAUAUCAGAGAAAGACAUGAACAUUGCUAUUUUUUUAUUUUUUGCAUGGAUGCAACUUUCAAAGAAACAUUGCUCUGUGUAGUACCAUGUCUGCCUGAGGACUUCCCUGCCUCUGAUAAGCACACUGACAAGUCUUAUGUCUGGGAAACCCAUCCUUUUAAGCAAGCCCACUUUUGCACAUAUUCCCAAAACAAUUUUGUUCUGAAAGUUAUAGCAUUUCUGCUCACAACAGCUGCCCCCUCCAUUUGGUUUGUUGCUUUAGGACCAAACCAGAUGUUUUGAUGCAAACUUGCCUGGAGAAACCAAUGGCAGCCUGGCACAGAAGAACUCCAAACCAGCAUCACGUAUUGCACACAUUGCAAAGCAUCUGCUUUCCUACCACACAAAUUGUGGUACUGGCAUAUGCUCUACUCAAGGCACAAUUGUCUUUAAAAAAUUCACAUGCACGUAGAAUGAGUGAAUGUGACCCCUGGAAAACAGGCCCUUAGUGAGAGCAUGUCUGCAGUGAACAUGCAGAAUAUCGUAGAAAUUGACGCAUAUAAAAAUAGAGGUGGUAUUAUCAGAGGACACAUGCUUUGAAUAUUCUCUGGAAAGUUUGGUUUCUUAAUGAUUUUCACACAUAGCCUUUGGGGGAGAGAGAGAGAAAUGAAGAUUUGCACAGCUCAUAGUGAAUGGAAAAUAAGAGUGAUGCACCUUUCGCAGAUGAAAAUGUGGAUGUGCUUAUUAUUAUUAUUAUUAUUAGUUUUUUUUAUUUGUACCCUGCCUUUUUCUCUGAUGGGACUCAAGGUGGCUUAUGGAUCAAAACAAUAAUGGCUAAAAGCAUAG
Molecule: non-coding RNA, 7674 nt
Organism: Podarcis lilfordi (Lilford's wall lizard)
Lineage: Eukaryota; Metazoa; Chordata; Lepidosauria; Squamata; Lacertidae
Source: the annotation of a GenBank genome assembly